UGGGGAAUAUUGCACAAUGGGCGAAAGCCUGAUGCAGCAACGCCGCGUGAGUGAUGAAGGCCUUCGGGUUGUAAAGCUCUGUCUUUUGGGACGAUAAUGACGGUACCAAAGGAGGAAGCCACGGCUAACUACGUGUCAGCAGCCGCGGUAAUACGUAGGUGGCAAGCGUUGUCCGGAUUUACUGGGCGUAAAGGAUGCGUAGGCGGAUUUUAAGUGAGAUGUGAAAUACCCGGGCUUAACUUGGGUGCUGCAUUUCAAACUGGGAAUCUAGAGUGCGGGAGAGGAGAAUGGAAUUCCUAGUGUAGCGGUGAAAUGCGUAGAGAUUAGGAAGAACACCAGUGGCGAAGGCGAUUCUCUGGACCGUAACUGACGCUGAGGCAUGAAAGCGUGGGUAGCAAACAGGAUUAGAUACCCUGGUAGUCCACGCCGUAAACGAUGAGUACUAGGUGUAGGAGGUAUCGACCCCUUCUGUGCCGCAGUUAACACAAUAAGUACUCCGCCUGGGAAGUACGAUCGCAAGAUUAAAACUUAAAUGAAUUGACGGGGUCAUAGCUGUUUCCU
This 561-nucleotide ribosomal RNA is filed under the name uncultured bacterium. RNAcentral's name for it is "partial 16S ribosomal RNA". It matches the Rfam family "Bacterial small subunit ribosomal RNA", at positions 355 to 1375 of the family's 1533-position model. The record is from RNAcentral.